GAAAGCCAGGCUGCCAGCAGUCACGGAGUUCUCUCUACGCCUUUAGGAAUAAAGGCUAUUUUUACUUUAUGUUCUCUUUUAUCACGCAGAAAACUCUUUCAUAAUGGUGCCCGUGUGCCUCGGAUGGCAGAGUGAGUGGCUCCUGGGAAUCCCUCCCAGUUUGAGCCCCCCUAAGAACCACCUUUUUCUUCCUCUGGGACUGUUUACUUGCUGCCGCUAACAGCUACCUUUCUCACUCCUAACAGGUUGCCAGCUGGUCAAAAUGAUGCUAAAAUUGGUUAAACAAAAUCCCUUGGAGUGAGGAGACAUUGGACAGGACUUCAAUUGAUAAAUAACAGUGACACUUGGAGCUCUGAGACAGGUAAAUCGACACAAGAUGGAGAGCUGCCUGAGCCCCUCCUGGACCAUGCUUCAAGUACAAGAACGAACAUUGGGAAAGACAGUGUCUCAAACCCAGCAUUCUUCUGGGCCUUGCCCCUAUUGCAAUCUCAAGGGCCACUGGAAGAGCGACUGUCCUAGCCACCAGAGAGUGGUCUAAGAUGUGGGCAUUCACCAAUCAUGAAGUUGCCCUGGCUAAAACACCUGGCACCAGCUUCUACAUGGGCAUCAACCAUUGUCCCAUCAACCUUUCUAAACCACAAUACAGGAAGAGUGUCCCAACCCCAGUGUUCUUCUGGGCCUUGCCCCUAUUGCAAUCUCAAGGGCCAUUGGAAGAGCGACUGUCUUAGCUGCCAGAGAGCGGGUAAGCCAUCCUCUAACUCCCUGCCCUCAUAGGAGAUCUCAUCACCACAGGAUUCAUUGCUGAUUGAUCUACUCAGACUUGCUGCUGAAGACUGCUUAUACCAAUCUUGCUUCAACAGGAAGUAAUAAGCAAGAGACUUCACCCUUUUCCUAACAAUACCAAGAUGGGAAUGAAAGGUUCUUGCCUUAGUAGAAAUUAUGGCAGUGAUCUAAUGUGGCAGUAGGAAUGCCUACCACUUCCUGCUUCUUCUUCAGCCUUAAUUGCACUCCCCUUCCUGUUGGUGCAUGAAGAAAACUCCAAUCAGCUCCUCGUGCCUCAUCAAUGCCCACCCUAAGCACCACCCCUGGUCAGAGGUUGUAUGUAUAUUCCAUGCCCCAUCUUACAGCCUGAGAAAGCCAGGCCACCAGCAGUCAUGGAGUUCUCUCCACAUCCUUGGAAUAAAGGCUAUCUUUACUUUAUAUUCUCUCUUUUAUCAUGCUGAAAGCUCUUUCACUGAGCAGUCCACAUUUUGACUUCCCACAGUGGACACUGCUUACACCAAGUGCCUUGCAUUUAGGAGGUGUGCAGUCAACCUCUGCUCAAUGAAAAGUUACAAAAGGCACUAUCUCAACAACUUGACCUCUUAUACAUCCUGCCUUUCAAUGUAGAAAUAUUAAUUCUGGGAAGGAGAUCCACACUGUAGCUGAACUUGUUUAACACCUUUGGGUCCAUCUGAAAAACACUUUCAAUUCAUGUAAUCCCAUUACCCAUAUUUUAGACUAGAUUCCAGGGAAAACGUAAUAGUCCAGGACAAACUUCAUCUCUUUAAAAGAGAUACCACAGAAACAAGUUUUAUUUCUUGGGACAUAUCUUUUCUUUUUCUUUUUUUUUUUGAAGACAAGGUUUCACUGUGUGGUCCAGGCUGGUCUUAACUCACUAUGUAGUCCAGGCUGGCCUCGAACUGAUGGCAGUCUUCCUGUCUCAUCCUCCCUGGAUUAUAGCACAUGCACUGUGUUCAGCUGGGAUGUGUCUUUGUCUCCACCCUUGCACAUAUACAAAUUACCAUUUGGAAGAAUGAGAAAGGAGAGAAUUAUCAAGUCUCCAUUUAAUUUUCCAUCCACCAAAUGGGAAAGUUUCAUCAUUUUGUUCUAAGCUCAAUACUUACUAAAUGGCAAUAAAGUUCCCAAAAGUGUUUCACUUUUACAAACAGAAAAUAUCUCAGAUCCGGAAGCAUCUACCAUAAGAUAAAAAGCAUUAAUCAUAUAAAUAGAAUAUUUUCUCUAUAUUCAAUAAUAAGUGUAUAAGAGAAAAUGGA
Molecule: long non-coding RNA, 2036 nt
Organism: Cavia porcellus (domestic guinea pig)
Lineage: Eukaryota; Metazoa; Chordata; Mammalia; Rodentia; Caviidae
Exons: 4
Source: RefSeq, a predicted model, not a curated record